RNAcentral lists this ribosomal RNA (305 nucleotides) under uncultured bacterium. Its description in RNAcentral is "bacterial SSU rRNA". It matches the Rfam family "Bacterial small subunit ribosomal RNA", at positions 335 to 637 of the family's 1533-position model. The record is from RNAcentral.
ACGCCUACGGGACUCAGCAGUGAUGAAUCUUGGUCACUUGUCUUAAUCCUGAACCAGCCAUGCCGCGUGCAGGACGACGGCUCUACGAGUUGUAAACUGCUUUUGUACCGGGGUAAAAUGCCUUACGAGUAGGGUUUUGAAAGUACGGUACGAAUAAGGAUCGGCUAACUCCGUGCCAGCAGCCGCGGUAAUACGGAGGAUCCGAGCGUUAUCCGGAUUCAUUGGGUUUAAAGGGUGCGUAGGUUGUUUUAUAAGUUAGCGGUGAAAUACCGAUGCUCAACAUCGGGGCUGCCGCUAAUACUGUA